Molecule: ribosomal RNA, 479 nt
Filed under: uncultured bacterium
Lineage: Bacteria
Description: bacterial SSU rRNA
Rfam family: Bacterial small subunit ribosomal RNA
Source: RNAcentral
UCAGGACGAACGCUGGCGGCGUGCUUAACACAUGCAAGUCGAGCGAUGAAGUUCCUUCGGGAAAUGGAUUAGCGGCGGACGGGUGAGUAACACGUGGGUAACCUGCCUCAUAGAGGGGAAUAGCCUUUCGAAAGGAAGAUUAAUACCGCAUAAGAUUGUAAUGUCGCAUGACAUAGCAAUUAAAGGAGUAAUCCGCUAUGAGAUGGACCCGCGUCGCAUUAGCUAGUUGGUGAGGUAACGGCUCACCAAGGCGACGAUGCGUAGCCGACCUGAGAGGGUGAUCGGCCACAUUGGGACUGAGACACGGCCCAGACUCCUACGGGAGGCAGCAGUGGGGAAUAUUGCACAAUGGGGGAAACCCUGAUGCCAGCAACGCCGCGUGAGUGAUGAAGGUCUUCGGAUUGUAAAGCUCUGUCUUUAGGGACGAUAAUGACGGUACCUAAGGAGGAAGCCACGGCUAACUACGUGCCAGCAGCAGC